CACGUAGGCACCAAGCGUUGUCCGGAUUUAUUGGGCGUAAAGAGCUCGUAGGCGGUUGAGUAAGUCGGGUGUGAAAACUCUGGGCUUAACCCAGAGCCGCCACUCGAUACUGCUCUGACUUGAGUUCGGUAGGGGAGCAGGGAAUUCCUAGUGUAGCGGUGAAAUGCGCAGAUAUCGGGAGGAACACCAAUGGCGAAGGCAGCUCGCUGGGACGGUACUGACGCUGAGGCGCGAAAGCGUGGGGAGCAAACAGG
This 254-nucleotide ribosomal RNA is filed under the name uncultured bacterium. RNAcentral describes it as "partial 16S ribosomal RNA". It matches the Rfam family "Bacterial small subunit ribosomal RNA", at positions 524 to 776 of the family's 1533-position model. The record is from RNAcentral.